GCUGUGAGGCAUGCUGGAGGUAUCAGAAGUGCGAAUGCUGACAUAAGUAACGAUAAAGCGGGUGAAAAGCCCGCUCGCCGGAAGACCAAGGGUUCCUGUCCAACGUUAAUCGGGGCAGGGUGAGUCGACCCCUAAGGCGAGGCCGAAAGGCGUAGUCGAUGGGAAACAGGUUAAUAUUCCUGUACUUGGUGUUACUGCGAAGGGGGGACGGAGAAGGCUAUGUUGGCCGGGCGACGGUUGUCCCGGUUUAAGCGUGUAGGCUGGUUUUCCAGGCAAAUCCGGAAAAUCAAGGCUGAGGCGUGAUGACGAGGCACUACGGUGCUGAAGCAACAAAUGCCCUGCUUCCAGGAAAAGCCUCUAAGCAUCAGGUAACAUCAAAUCGUACCCCAAACCGACACAGGUGGUCAGGUAGAGAAUACCAAGGCGCUUGAGAGAACUCGGGUGAAGGAACUAGGCAAAAUGGUGCCGUAACUUCGGGAGAAGGCACGCUGAUAUGUAGGUGAAGUCCCUCGCGGAUGGAGCUGAAAUCAGUCGAAGAUACCAGCUGGCUGCAACUGUUUAUUAAAAACACAGCACUGUGCAAACACGAAAGUGGACGUAUACGGUGUGACGCCUGCCCGGUGC
RNAcentral lists this ribosomal RNA (624 nucleotides) under Escherichia coli. RNAcentral describes it as "partial 23S ribosomal RNA". It matches the Rfam family "Bacterial large subunit ribosomal RNA", at positions 1260 to 1869 of the family's 2925-position model. Lineage: Bacteria; Pseudomonadati; Pseudomonadota; Gammaproteobacteria; Enterobacterales; Enterobacteriaceae. The record is from RNAcentral.